GGUUAAGCGACUAAGCGUACACGGUGGAUGCCCUGGCAGUCAGAGGCGAUGAAGGACGUGCUAAUCUGCGAUAAGCGUCGGUAAGGUGAUAUGAACCGUUAUAACCGGCGAUUUCCGAAUGGGGAAACCCAGUGUGUUUCGACACACUAUCAUUAACUGAAUCCAUAGGUUAAUGAGGCGAACCGGGGGAACUGAAACAUCUAAGUACCCCGAGGAAAAGAAAUCAACCGAGAUUCCCCCAGUAGCGGCGAGCGAACGGGGAGCAGCCCAGAGCCUGAAUCAGUGUGUGUGUUAGUGGAAGCGUCUGGAAAGGCGCGCGAUACAGGGUGACAGCCCCGUACACAAAAAUGCACAUGCUGUGAGCUCGAUGAGUAGGGCGGGACACGUGGUAUCCUGUCUGAAUAUGGGGGGACCAUCCUCCAAGGCUAAAUACUCCUGACUGACCGAUAGUGAACCAGUACCGUGAGGGAAAGGCGAAAAGAACCCCGGCGAGGGGAGUGAAAAAGAACCUGAAACCGUGUACGUACAAGCAGUGGGAGCACGCUUAGGCGUGUGACUGCGUACCUUUUGUAUAAUGGGUCAGCGACUUAUAUUCUGUAGCAAGGUUAACCGAAUAGGGGAGCCGAAGGGAAACCGAGUCUUAACUGGGCGUUAAGUUGCAGGGUAUAGACCCGAAACCCGGUGAUCUAGCCAUGGGCAGGUUG
This 704-nucleotide ribosomal RNA is filed under the name Escherichia coli. RNAcentral's name for it is "partial 23S ribosomal RNA". It matches the Rfam family "Bacterial large subunit ribosomal RNA", at positions 1 to 747 of the family's 2925-position model. The record is from RNAcentral. Lineage: Bacteria; Pseudomonadati; Pseudomonadota; Gammaproteobacteria; Enterobacterales; Enterobacteriaceae.